ACGUAGGGUGCAAGCGUUAAUCGGAAUUACUGGGCGUAAAGCGUGCGCAGGUGGUUGUACAAGACCGACGUGAAAUCCCCGGGCUCAACCUGGGAAUGGCGUUGGUGACUGUGCGACUAGAGUGUGGCAGAGGGGGGUGGAGUUCCACGUGUAGCAGUGAAAUGCGUAGAGAUGUGGAGGAACACCGAUGGCGAAGGCAGCCCCCUGGGCUAACACUGACACUCAUGCACGAAAGCGUGGGGAGCAAACAG
Molecule: ribosomal RNA, 251 nt
Filed under: uncultured prokaryote
Description: partial 16S rRNA
Rfam family: Bacterial small subunit ribosomal RNA
Source: RNAcentral